Molecule: ribosomal RNA, 523 nt
Filed under: Phrynus marginemaculatus (Florida whipspider)
Lineage: Eukaryota; Metazoa; Arthropoda; Arachnida; Amblypygi; Phrynidae
Description: partial large subunit ribosomal RNA
Rfam family: Eukaryotic large subunit ribosomal RNA
Source: RNAcentral
CCAAGGAGUCUAACAUGUGCGCGAGUCAUUGGGACUUGUUCAGGCCCAAAGGCGCAAUGAAAGUGAAGGCCGGCCUCGGAGCCGUUGCCGAGUUGGGAUCCCGUGCCUACCCGUUACAGGUGCGCGGGAGCACCAACGACCCGUCCCGUCCGCAGCGUCGGUGGGGCGGAGUGUGAGCGUACACGUUGGGACCCGAAAGAUGGUGAACUAUGCCUGGGCAGGACGAAGCCAGAGGAAACUCUGGUGGAGGUCCGUAGCGAUUCUGACGUGCAAAUCGAUCGUCAGACCCGGGUAUAGGGGCGAAAGACUAAUCGAACCAUCUAGUAGCUGGUUCCCUCCGAAGUUUCCCUCAGGAUAGCUGGCGCUCGAACGGGAAUCAGUCUCAUCCGGUAAAGCGAAUGAUUAGAGGCCUUGGGGCCGAAACGACCUCAACCUAUUCUCAAACUUUAAAUGGGUGAGAUGUCCGGCUUGCACGAGUGAAGCUCGGACGAUGCAGGAUGAGAGUGCCCAGUGGGCCACUUUU